GUCUAUGGCCAUACCACCCUGAAUACACCCAAUCUAAUCUUAUUUUAGAAGCUAAGCAGGAUCGGGCCUGGUUAGUACUUGGAUGGGAGGCGGUGCUUCUCCAACUGAAAAUUUUCAAACAGAGGUUGGAU
This 131-nucleotide ribosomal RNA is filed under the name Microcebus murinus (gray mouse lemur). The record is from RNAcentral. Lineage: Eukaryota; Metazoa; Chordata; Mammalia; Primates; Cheirogaleidae.